RNAcentral lists this ribosomal RNA (253 nucleotides) under uncultured bacterium. RNAcentral describes it as "partial 16S ribosomal RNA". It matches the Rfam family "Bacterial small subunit ribosomal RNA", at positions 524 to 776 of the family's 1533-position model. The record is from RNAcentral.
UACAGAGGUGGCAAGCGUUGUUCGGAAUUACUGGGCGUAAAGGGCGAGUAGGUGGCCAUCUAAGUCAGACGUGAAAUCCCCCGGCUUAACCUGGGAACUGCGUCUGAUACUGGACGGCUUGAGUAUGGGAGAGGAACGUAGAAUUCCAGGUGUAGCGGUGAAAUGCGUAGAUAUCUGGAGGAAUACCGGUGGCGAAGACGGCGUUCUGGACCAUUACUGACACUGAAUCGCGAAAGCUAGGGGAGCAAACGGG